This 786-nucleotide non-coding RNA is filed under the name Sogatella kolophon. The record is from RNAcentral. Lineage: Eukaryota; Metazoa; Arthropoda; Insecta; Hemiptera; Delphacidae.
GUGCCACUUGGUACCGUUGUUAAAACUAUUACGAAAGAAUUAUUAGAUCAAAAUAAGAGCGAAGGUUUUUAAAUGAAAAUAGAUGUAAAAUUUUAAAUAGGGGGGUGGUUUAAAAAGUUGCAUUGGUUAUUUUCAGUAUUUAAAAUUAAUUAAAUUAUUGGGGGGUAAUUUUAGUUAAUUUAAUAUAAAGGAGUAAAAUGAUGUGCCAGCAUUCGCGGUUAUUCAUCAUCCUUGAGUCUUUGAUUUUAAUGGGAAGUGUAAAGUAUAUAGUUACUUGAUUUAUUUUAAUGGGGGUGAAAUAAAUUAAAGUUAAUUUUAUAUAGAGCAUUUUCAAAAUUUUGGGAUUAAACUAGGAUUAGAUACCCUAUUAUUCAAAUUUAGUUAAAAUUCUAUUUAGUAUUUUGAUUACACAAUAAAUUAAAUUGAUUUGGCGGUUUUUUAAUCUUUUUAGAGGAACCUGUAAAUUAAUUCGAUAAACCACGAUUUUAUAAACCUUAGUUUUCUUGUAUAUCUCUAUAAUUGAAUAUACUUUGAGGUUAAUUUUCUUUUUUUUUAGUUGAAUUUUAAUUUAGGUCAAGGUGCAGUUGUAUUUGGGAUUUAAUGGGUUACAACAACUUUUGUUUGUGGAUUUUUUAUUUAAAUAAAAAUAAAAUUGGAUUUAAAAGUAAAAUUUUUUAUUAAAAAAUUAGAAUAAUGCUCUGAAUUAUGUACAUAUCGCCCGUCAUUCUCAUCUAGUGAGACAAGUCGUAACAAAGUAGACGUAUUGGAAAAUGUGUCUAGCAGAUG